Molecule: unclassified non-coding RNA, 179 nt
Filed under: plant metagenome
Description: partial contains small subunit ribosomal RNA and internal transcribed spacer 1
Rfam family: Eukaryotic small subunit ribosomal RNA (bases 1-46)
Source: RNAcentral
AAGUCGUAACAAGGUCUCCGUAGGUGAACCUGCGGAGGGAUCAUUAACGAGCAAGGGCGGAAACGCCCGACCUCCAACCCUUUGUUUGCGAAACCCCGUUGCCUCGGGGGCUUCGGCCCCCGUCGGGCCACCAAACACUGCAUCUUUGCGUCAGAGUAUAUUUAUCUAAUAAAUCAAAA